UAGAGGAGUUGUGUGAUAAGCUGAAAGAUGCUCAAUUUCGAAAGAAGAUGAUUCGUUAUCUGUGUCUUCAGAGUGGAGGGAGCUUGGGAGAAGGAAUUAGGAGGAUGCUGAAAAAAUUGGAGAUAAUUCCUUAUGGGGAUAUUACAGUUACAAAGGGAGAAAGGGAAAACUUAAAUUUCAGCAGCUCCUCAUCAAUGAUGUCUUCAUACUGAACUGCACUGGUCAGCAGAAGGUUGCUGGAUCAAUCUCCGCAGUCGUCUCCACCGGUGUGUCUUUACUCCAGGUGACUCCAGAGGAUUGAGGUCCCUUUAAUAAGAGCACUGUUUUACCUUUUUUCCACAAAUGCUGCAGUCACCUGAUCCGCCACAAAAGAUCUGCAGCAAAUGCACAGGAAUCAAGAAUCAGAAAAGUGCUGUAAUAACUCUUUGA
Molecule: long non-coding RNA, 429 nt
Organism: Cyprinus carpio carpio
Lineage: Eukaryota; Metazoa; Chordata; Actinopteri; Cypriniformes; Cyprinidae
Source: Ensembl